Molecule: ribosomal RNA, 502 nt
Filed under: uncultured bacterium
Lineage: Bacteria
Description: partial 16S ribosomal RNA
Rfam family: Bacterial small subunit ribosomal RNA
Source: RNAcentral
GAUGAACGCUGGCGGCGUGCCUAACACAUGCAAGUCGAGCGGCAGCGAGAUUUACACUGACUUCUGGAAGCUUCUAGUUGAAAGAGAAGAUUUAUUCAAGAAUUUUGUGUAAAAUGUCGGCGAGCGGCGGACGGCUGAGUAACGCGUGGGAACGUACCCCAAAGUGAGGGAUAACGCAUCGAAAGGUGUGCUAAUACCGCAUAUGGUCUUCGGAUUAAAGCCUUCGGGCGCUUUGGGAACGGCCUGCGUACGAUUAGAUAGUUGGUGGGGUAAUGGCCUACCAAGUCGACGAUCUUUAACUGGUUGGAGAGGAUGAUCAGUCAGACUUGAACUGAGACACGGUCCAGACUCCUACGGGAGGCAGCAGUGAGGAAUCUUCCACAAUGGGCGAAAGCCUGAUGGAGCAACGCCGCGUGCAGGAUGUAGGCCUUCGGGUUGUAAACUGCUUUUAUAAGUGAGGAUUAUGACAGUAACUUAUGAAUAAGGAUCGGCUAACUACGUG